CUGCAUGAGAGAGCCUGGCUAGUCUCCUUUGGCGUGACAAUAUUCAAUUUGCAUCACUUUGGGGACCACUACUACUUAAUUCUACUUACGUUUUUUUCUUUCUUUCUUUUCUUUAAUUUUAAAAUAAGAAAAAAGAAAAAUUCUUCUAAUAACAUUAAUAUUAAUUUAGCUUUUGAUUAGCUGUUAUUCAGUUCUCCACAUUAAUGUUAAUUACUUAAUUAGAAUUGUAUCACUUCAGAGCCUCUAUUUAUACCCCCUACUUCAUCCCUUCUUCUCCAUCUCUCUGAUAAUUACAACCCUAGAGAAAAAAUAUAUAUAUUUAUAGAAGCAGAAAUAUUCAUUCUCUCAAUCUAUUUUUUCUUUCUUUCGUGAAAAGUUAUAUCGUGCUUUCAUUAAUAGUUGAAGCUGCCAGCAUGAUCUUAACUUUCCUCCUUGAUGAAGGAAGAUCAGAUCAUGUGGCAGUUUCACCUGUUAUCUGGUGGCAUGAGAAACCCUAAUGUUAUCAACCCUAAAUACUUCCCCAUCACACUGUAUUUUGCCUACCCAUGUUCUCCUUUUAGGGUUAUAAGACAUUUUCUUUAAUAUAUAGGAAAAAGGUUCGAUGAUUGCAAGACAUCUCUCACAGGAUCUAGAUCUGUUGAUUGGGGGUGCCUCGGUAAUGUUCAUGUAUCUAAUGUCGUCCUUCGUUUUUUUGGUAUAUAGUUAAUUGGUUAUGAUUUUUUUAUCCUUUCUCUGACUCUAUUAGGUAUACAUAUACAAUAAAAACACAGGAAUAUAUAUUGAUUAUAUAUCUUGUAACUUUUUUUUUCUCUUCGAAAAAGUUCUUGAUUGUUAAGUUAGAGCCUGAAUAAUUUCAGAAAAUAUCCUCAACCUGUUUACUAUAUAGGAACUUCUCUUUCCUCUCUCUUUCUCUCUGCUUUUCCAAGCAAAAUUACUGACAAAAAAUUAAGCUUCUUUCUAAUUUACAAGCUAAUAAAUAAAUAAAACUGAUCGAUAAGGGUCCAUCUUCUUUCCCUCUACAGCUGAUUUGGGAUUCAGCUACAUCCUAAUAAAAUAACUAGGGUUUCAUCAUGUGAAGCAAGUGAAUUUAGAAAUCAAACUAACCAAAUGAUGUAGACCAUUAUAUAUGUCAUCUGUAAUAUAAUAUAUAUAUACAUAUUUUUAUGAGAUUUUUGUCAUAGCUAGAUGUUGCCAGUUAGGCAGAUCAAGCAUGUCUAGGCUUCUGGAUCAGACAGUAUGUGAGACCAUUGUGUACCUUAAGCAUCCAUAUUAGAAUGUACUUUUUUUUUUGAGUUAGUCAAACUUAUAUAUAUAUAUAUAUAUUCAACUGAUGAAGUACUAUCAGUCAGCUAACUGAUCCUGCUUGAUCAUCAUGAAUGAGUGUCUUCCGUUGAAAUAAUACUGCUUGAGAUAUAAGCGUGCAGUACUAAGAACUGACUUUACUGACAAGUAGAUCUAGACAACCAUGGAGUUCCGAAACUUGUCUCCUUACAAAAUUCUUUUAACCUAGCUAUGCAUCUAUAUAUACACAUAUUAUAUAUAUAGAUGUACCAUAUUAUUCUUCAUGGCUUAAGUUCAGAGAUUAUGUUCUUACAUAUAGGACAGGUACUGUGUUUUUCCUUUGUUUUUUAUUUUAGUAUGCCUCUUCCAUUCAUUAUACAUUCAGGUUUUUCUAAUGACUCAGAAUUAGAAAAAGAGACAUAUAUAUAUAUAUAUGUAAAUGAUAUGAUAUAUGAAAGUCAGUACCAAACAAUUUAACAAGGAAAAUGCUUGAAGACUCUUUUGGGUUUUUGAUUUAUAACGAGCUGUUAAUUUGUCAGAUUAUUGAGUACAAGCUAAUUAGCAAAAGUCGAAGGAUCCAGUCAGCAAAAACAUUAAGGAGCAGUUCGAUCGCUAUAUUGAUUUUUUUGUGGCAUAUAAUUAUGAGAUCCUAAAUAUAAUAAUUAAUGUAUAAAAUAGAGAGAACAUAAACUUGCAUAUAUGAAACUUAAGUAUUUAUUCCCGAUCUCUUAUUAAUACUACUUGCAUUUUCAUAUCAAUUGAUGAACUGCACCAAUAUUAUAAAAUUAACUGUUAUUUAUCUCGUAUAUAUACUUGUUCAUGUAAAAUAUAAAUAUACUUGAAAUUUUGAACCCCAUAUAUAUACGAGCUUUCAUUCUCUCUCUCUCUGUAUAUGUGUGUGUACAUAAAUAUAUGUUACAUGAUGAAGUACGUUUCUCAAUUUGGUUGCCAUAUAUGUUAGAUGUGUACUUAAUUUGGAGGCCUGGCAGAAGCUCCAUUAUCUUCUCAAGAUUCCCCUAAAGUAGUUUUCAAUUUUCUCCUUCCCAGCUAAUAUAGUGCCAAUAUAUAUAUAUAUAUAUAUAUACACACUAAUAAUAAGAGAAACAAUAUUAUUUAUGCGUGUCUAUAUCAGCACUAUAGUGUGUUAAGUUUCAUUGUCAGCUACUACUCUACUACUGCAAGUCACGAGUAAUAAUGUCAUAUAGUUUCACAUUGCAUUAUUAACGGGCCUGGAUUUGUCGCAUACCAUUAAUUAAAGAUGCUCCUCGUAAGGGUAACAAAAAUAUUAUAAAAAGAAAUAAAGCUUGUCUUGAUAGAGAUUGAUGUAUGCAAUGUCUUUGUAUACGAUGAUAUAUAGAUUCAGUGGGUAGGUACGUAUCUUCGCUUCGGUUUAUUUCGAUUUAAGAUUUUGCUCGUUUUUAUUAAUUCGAUCCCGUUCUAUACAUCUUAUUUCAAUCAUUAUAAUUCUAUCUAUUUGAAUGUUGUAGCGGCCUAUAGAUACAAACAACGUAUAAUGGAUAUUUGUUUAGUUUUAUUUUCGUAAUUUAUUAAUUAUUUUUAUUAAAAUUGUAUGAUACUACAACAAAUAGUAUUUUUAGGGGCGACAUCCUAAAAGUGGCCGAUGAUAUGUGUUAGGGGUUACAUAUCGCCUCUAUCACGUCACCGCUAAUACGUCGACGCUAAUAGUCAUUAUUAACGGCGACAAAUAAAGUCACUUCUAAAAGUCUAAUAUUAGGGGCGACUUUGUUGCCGCUCAUAUUGAGAGAGUUGUCGCAGCUAUACUCAAUUUUGCAGUAUCUCAAAAAAAAAACCUAGGGGACUAAUAUGUCGCUGCUAAUAGUUGAUUAUUAGGUGACAAAGUAUCGCUGAUAACUCUUGAAUAAAGAGUUGUUUUUUACUUUUAAGCUUAUAAAUAUAGAAUUAGGCCGAGUGAUGUUUGUUUGUUAUUGUUAUUUUUAGUUAUUUCCUUUGCCUUUUUGUGUUAUUUUGUGUUCUUGUGUCUUUUUUAGUUUUUUAGAGCUGAAAGUGGACAAAUAAUGAAUUUAUGCAUGAAUUUUUCCAAAGACAACAAGGAAAAGUGAUUUGGCUCUAAAUUGUUUAACUUAUUGUGCUGAAAUGUUAAGUGUUGUUGUAGCAAAAGAAAUUUUGCUGGAGCAUUUUGAGCAGAAUACAAAGAGGAAGUCAGGGUAAGGUGAACAAAAUCAGAGUUAUUCAGCUGCAUACAAAGGAGAGACACGUGGCACCAUAGAUUGAGUUGUCAAAGAGUGGUAAGGUGAAAAAAAUCAGAGUUAUUCAACUGCAUUUUAGAGGAGCAAGUUCUAGAAGAGAAAAUGAAACUCAUGUGAGAGGCAAGGGGGACACUUUUGGCACAUGGAAAAAAUGGUUUUGUAUCUUAGCUAUAAAAGAAAAAGAAAAUGAUAGCCUCCAUUACCCAAUUCAGCCAUCUUUUAGAGAGAGAACCACCUAGUACAAUGAGAUUUCAGCAAUACAAAGAAGGAAAGAGAGAAAAGAAGAAGAGAAUAUUCAUUCCAUCAUCAUCUCGGGUUAUUUCUUCUAUUUGUUUGUCAUUCCUUUCCUAUUUUCUCUAGUAUUUUGUGAUUGAUUACUCAUGGAAAGAUUUGAAUUUGUAUUUCUUGAUUUAGCCAUGAACUAGUUAUUUUGAGGCUUGGAUUAUUAAUGAACUCUAUGUCUUAAUUCUAAAUUUCUAGCACUUUAUUUUAGCAAAUUAUCCAUUGUCCAUUCAAA
Molecule: long non-coding RNA, 4026 nt
Organism: Humulus lupulus (European hop)
Lineage: Eukaryota; Viridiplantae; Streptophyta; Magnoliopsida; Rosales; Cannabaceae
Exons: 2
Source: RefSeq, a predicted model, not a curated record